CACCUCUCAGAGUCGCACCUGGAGAGUUUCCAGUACUCUACCAGUCUCGACUAUGAGAGGGAGAGUCAAAUAGAGGACGACCCAUUCCAUUCCUAGCUUGGGCAGUGGCUAGCAAGUGGAAGGCAGUCUGCUACAAGU
Molecule: small nucleolar RNA, 138 nt
Organism: Ornithorhynchus anatinus (platypus)
Lineage: Eukaryota; Metazoa; Chordata; Mammalia; Monotremata; Ornithorhynchidae
Source: RefSeq, a predicted model, not a curated record